CUCUCCUAUCUACUCCCCCUCCUCCCCCUCUCACCCUUCUUUUUCUCCCCUCCCUUGGAGUUGCAGGAUAUCGGAGGACUCUUCUUCCCCUCCAAGUUUUUCUGUUGAGGGACCUCCUGACAAACAUACAGAAUGCUGACAAACAUGCAGGAGGUCCUCUCUUAGCAUUUUUUUCUAACCACUGUGUGAGUUUCUCUCCUCAGAUGCCUCCUGCCUUACCUAAGAGGGCUGCUGGACUUCCUGCCAGCCAACCUCCAGGUAAGAAGGUUCACAAACCUUUCAUUUCAUUAAAUUUACCCCGUUUUGUUUUAAACAUUUUAGCUACGUGUGAUUUUCUGGAUGUGAUCUGGUCAGUUUUUAUUUGAAUGAAUCUCUUGUGAUUAUGUCUGAUCAGAUCUAUUCCAACUUUAUUUGGAUGAAUUUUCUUCGACUGUAUUUUGUGUGAUUCUGUCUGAGCUCGGUUCUUGUCGGUGGGACUCUUGUCAGGGUGCCCGUCAGAGGUGUGGGCGGAUCUGGGGGGCAUUGUGGGAAACCUCCUGUGGUGCCCCCCCUCACAGUGAAGCUCCGCUCUGUCAGAAGGUGAACAGGAUGCAGACGGCAUGUCACAGAGAAGCAACAUGUGCGUCUGUAUCCCACCCUGGACCCACAGUGGAGUCCACAGUGACAAGAUCACAGUUCAGGAGAGUCACACUGGGAUUAAAAGGGGUGGUUAAAUGUGUUAUUUAAGAUAGUAAGUGUAGUGUGAGGGUGAAAGUCUCGCUGCCAGAGGGAAGUUUCCAGGAGAGGUACGUAAGGAUCCCUGUGAAUGCUGCUGCAUGAAACGGUGAGUUUUGGAUUUUGACUUUGCAUUCAUAUAUCGAAUAUUUUUGAAAUCUCAACAAUAACACACGUCGACAAGAUUCUGCCGCGUUUUUCUUUUUGAUUUCUUUCAGACUGAUGAUCUCGGGACCCAAGACCAAGACAAGGACGACCCCAAAGACGAUUUGAAGACGAGUGACCGAGCCCCAACAGAGAUGAAGCCAGAGACGACGACCGCCCUGUGAGGAGAAGAAACUUUAUUGAGAUUUUACCGGAUGCACUGAAUUGGUGCUUCAACGACAUCAAGCAGAUUCAGACAGGAUGGACCAGAGAUGACGGGAGGCAGAUCCAGGACCAGUGCAUGACUCGUGAGACCAUGCAAUUAACACAAGAGCCAUCUCUCCAAGACCCCCGAUCUUAUGAAAGAUCAGAUCAAUAACCAAAUGAAAAGGUUUCUCUGGAUCUGGAGCUGCAUGUUUCUGAUCUGCUGUUGUCGGCCUCAGCGACCUCCAAAGUCUUCAUGUUCUCUCCUUCCUCUCUACCCUCAACCCAACCAGAAGGUUUUUAAAACUUCCCAACAACAGGAAGUUUUUUUUCCUUCACACUGGCACCACAUGGUUGAUCUGAUCAUACGGCAAAAAGAGAGAUCCUCAAAUAAAAAACAAAAGAACACAACAGAACUCUGUUUGUUUUAAAGUGUAACAUAAUGCACCCUUCCUUUUAUACUUAUUUUUGGAGAGCAUGUGUUAUGGUUCUCAAACUAAAUUAGUUUAAAAAAAUGUGCUUUCAAACCACUGGUUUCUCACAAACACCUGGACUCCAUCUUAAAACUGCACAGCAUUUGAACAUACUGCUGGUUGAGUGUUUACUUGGAGUAAAUACACUAACAUUAACAGAUUGUAUCUGAAAUUCAGUCAUAAUGUGCACCAACUAGUGUCUGUUGUGGUUGACAAUAAAGUAGCUAUUCUGUUCUAUUCUGAUUAAUCCCUGCUCAUGCUGCAUCCUUGUCCUAGAUUACAGGAUGCAUUCAGUCCCUGGAUGUGUUCCAGGCAGAAAAGUUAGAUUUGGUUACAAUAGGAGGAGCAGUUUAAGUGUUUCGGUCUUGUAGAUUGUUUCAGAAUGAAAAGUGCAGAUUUGAAAUCCUCAGUGUGUGUGUGGUCAGUCAUUAGAGAUGCUCCAACCUGAGCUGUGCAACAUAACCAACUAUUAUGCAUUGUUGCCUGUUUUGGUUCUCCCUUGUGUCGUAUGCUGUUCACUGCAAUUCAACAGUUUCAUUUAUCAGACGCUUUUAUCCAAAGCAGCGCAUCUGAAGUAGAUACAACACACAGUUGAUGAACCUGAACACAUCAUCAGUGAUGCUUCCUGGACUGUUUCGGCUCUUAC
Molecule: long non-coding RNA, 2181 nt
Organism: Acanthochromis polyacanthus (spiny chromis)
Lineage: Eukaryota; Metazoa; Chordata; Actinopteri; Pomacentridae
Exons: 4
Source: RefSeq, a predicted model, not a curated record